Molecule: long non-coding RNA, 362 nt
Filed under: Mustela putorius furo (domestic ferret)
Lineage: Eukaryota; Metazoa; Chordata; Mammalia; Carnivora; Mustelidae
Description: lncRNA (ENSMPUG00000030011.1)
Source: RNAcentral
AUUCGGAGUCCUUUUUCUGGAGGUUUGCACCAUUUUUAUGUAAGAUCUCAUUCUAUGAAUGGAUUCAGUCCAAGUAUUCUGCAAGUUUUGAACCAAUGAGAGAAUUGGAGGCCGACUCAGAAAUUAAGAGUUCUAGACGGGCUGGUCAUGUCUAUUUAUUUCAAAACUUAUGAGAAUUUAAUAAAUGAUAUUUUAUAACACCAUCAGAAAAUCUUAACAAACUCCAUUAAACCGCACAUCUUCCAUUUUUAGGAGCCCAACUUUUUUUCUUAGGUGGCAAAAUUCACUGGAGGUGAGUGGAAGGGGGUUGGAGAGGCAGCCAAUCCAUCCUGAUUCUUUGCUCUGGUCAACUUCUGAUUCUG